CUCUCUGGAAAGCAGGCGCGCCCCGCUCGGCGCGUCUCACCCAAGGUGAAAGCUGCGAGGGCCCCGGUCCUUUCGGUCAAUCUCUCAGGUCCGACGACAGAGGG
RNAcentral lists this non-coding RNA (104 nucleotides) under Oceanibaculum pacificum. RNAcentral's name for it is "Glycine sequence". It matches the Rfam family "Glycine riboswitch aptamer", at positions 7 to 88 of the family's 94-position model. From Rfam's summary of the family: This family represents the bacterial glycine riboswitch. Lineage: Bacteria; Pseudomonadati; Pseudomonadota; Alphaproteobacteria; Rhodospirillales; Oceanibaculaceae. The record is from Rfam by way of RNAcentral.